Danionella cerebrum is the source of this 72-nucleotide non-coding RNA. Lineage: Eukaryota; Metazoa; Chordata; Actinopteri; Cypriniformes; Danionidae. The record is from the annotation of a GenBank genome assembly.
GACCUUGUGGCGCAAUGGUAGCGUGGCUGAUACCAAAUCAGCCAGUUGUGUGCUCAAAUUGCAUCAAGGUCA